AUUGAUUGCUUCAUACAAUCGAACUGCUGGGUGAUAAUCCAGCCAGAACCUUGAAAACUGCAUAGUAACGCGAAAAAAAAGCAGGCAGACGGAUUAGAGUCCUGAUUGCUUCUUGACUGAGUGCUGAGUGAAAUCAGUGCCUAGAAGGAAGUAAACAGAACGAAAAAAAGUUUGCAGAAACACCAAUGUAAAUGUGGUCAAGCUAAUAAGGGCUUACGGUGGAUACCUAGGCACACAGAGGCGAAGAAGGACGUGGUUACCGACGAUAUACUCCGGGGAGUUGGAAGCAAACAUUGAGCCGGAGGUUUCCGAAUGGGGCAACCCUAAAUACUACCUGUUGAAUAUAUAGACAGGAAAGAGCCAACCCAGCGAACUGAAACAUCUUAGUAGCUGGAGGAAGAGAAAUCAAAAGAGAUUCCCUGAGUAGUGGUGAGCGAAAGGGGAAAAGCCUAAACCAAAGGAUUUAUCCUUUGGGGUAGUGGGACAGCGAUAUCGAAUCUGGCGGUUAGACGAAGCAGCUAAAUACUGCACCAAAGAAGGUGAAAGUCCUGUAGUCGAAAACUCAAGGAUAGUAGCUGAAUCCCGAGUAGCAUGGGGCACGAGGAAUCCCAUGUGAAUCAGCGAGGACCAUCUCGUAAGGCUAAAUACUACUGUGUGACCGAUAGUGAACCAGUACCGCGAGGGAAAGGUGAAAAGAACCCCGGAAGGGGAGUGAAAUAGAACAUGAAACCGUAAGCUUACAAGCAGUGGGAGGACGAUUGAACGUCUGACCGCGUGCCUGUUGAAGAAUGAGCCGGCGACUUAUAGGCACUGGUAGGUUAAGGCGAGAAUGCCGGAGCCAAAGGGAAACCGAGUCUGAAAAGGGCGCUCAAUCAGUGUUUAUAGACCCGAACCCUGGUGAUCUAACCAUGGCCAGGAUGAAGCUUGGGUAACACCAAGUGGAGGUCCGAACCGACUGAUGUUGAAAAAUCAGCGGAUGAGCUGUGGUUAGGGGUGAAAUGCCAAUCGAACCAGGAGCUAGCUGGUUCUCCCCGAAAUGUGUUUAGGCGCAGCGGUAAUGAUUAAAUCUGGGGGGUAAAGCACUGUUUCGGUGCGGGCUGGGAGACCGGUACCAAAUCGAGACAAACUCAGAAUACCCAGAGAACACAUUGCCAGUGAGACAGUGGGGGAUAAGCUUCAUUGUCAAGAGGGAAACAGCCCAGACCACCAGCUAAGGUCCCCAAAUCAUCACUAAGUGAUAAAGGAGGUGGGAUUGCAUAGACAACUAGGAGGUUUGCCUAGAAGCAGCCAACCUUAAAAGAGUGCGUAAUAGCUCACUAGUCAAGCGAUCCUGCGCCGAAAAUGAACGGGGCUAAGUGAUGUACCGAAGCUGUGGGAUUAAUCUAGUAUUAAUCGGUAGGGGAGCGUUCCGUAUUAGGUAGAAGCAGUAGCGGCGAGCAGCUGUGGACGAAACGGAAGUGAGAAUGUCGGCUUGAGUAGCGCAAACAUUGGUGAGAAUCCAAUGCCCCGAAACCCUAAGGGUUCCUCCGCCAGGUUCGUCCACGGAGGGUUAGUCGGGUCCUAAGGCGAGGUCGAAGGGCGUAGUCGAUGGACACAGGGUGAAUAAUCCCUGACUACUAUGUGGGAGCAUUGCGAGGGACGCAUGAAAGAUAGCCAUACCCUGAUUGGUUUGGGAGGAGUUUACGAACUCCGCGUGGUGAAGGAUAGUGUCAAGAAAAGCUCGUAAUGUGAUGAAAACAUAGUACCCGUACCCGAAACCGACACAGGUAGGGAGGUUGAGAAUACCAAGGGGCGCGAGAUAACUCUCUCUAAGGAACUCGGCAAAAUGGCCCCGUAACUUCGGGAGAAGGGGUGCCCACCUCAGACGUGGGUCGCAGUGAAGAGAUCCAGGCGACUGUUUACCAAAAACACAGGUCUCCGCCAACUCGAAAGAGGACGUAUGGGGGCUGACGCCUGCCCAGUGCCGGAAGGUUAAGGAAGUUGGUCAGGGGUUCGCCUUGAAGCUGACGACCGAAGCCCCGGUGAACGGCGGCCGUAACUAUAACGGUCCUAAGGUAGCGAAAUUCCUUGUCGGGUAAGUUCCGACCCGCACGAAAGGCGUAACGAUCUGGAUGGUGUCUCAGAGAGAGACUCGGCGAAAUAGGAAUGUCUGUGAAGAUACGGACUGCCUGCACCUGGACAGAAAGACCCUAUGAAGCUUUACUGUAGCCUGGAAUUGUGUUCGGGCUUCGCUUGCGCAGGAUAGGUGGGAAGCGAAGAAGUAUCCCUUGUGGGGGAUAUGGAGCUAACGGUGAGAUACCACUCUGGCGAAGCUAGAAUUCUAACCCAUGACCGUAAGCCGGUCAGGGAACAGUUUCAGGUGGGCAGUUUGACUGGGGCGGUCGCCUCCUAAAAAGUAACGGAGGCGCGCAAAGGUUCUCUCAGCACGCUUGGAAACCGUGCGGCGAGUGUAAAGGCAAAAGAGAGCUUGACUGCGAGAGAUACAACUCAAGCAGGGACGAAAGUCGGCCUUAGUGAUCCGACGGCACAGCAUGGAAUGGCCGUCGCUCAACGGAUAAAAGUUACUCUAGGGAUAACAGGCUGAUCUCCCCCAAGAGUCCACAUCGACGGGGAGGUUUGGCACCUCGAUGUCGGCUCAUCGCAACCUGGGGCGGAAGUACGUCCCAAGGGUUGGGCUGUUCGCCCAUUAAAGCGGUACGUGAGCUGGGUUCAGAACGUCGUGAGACAGUUCGGUCCAUAUCCGGUGCAGGCGCAAGAGCAUUGAGAGGAGCCUUCCUUAGUACGAGAGGACCGGGAAGGACGCACCGCUGGUGUACCAGUUAUCGUACCAACGGUAAACGCUGGGUAGCCAAGUGCGGAGCGGAUAACCGCUGAAAGCAUCUAAGUGGGAAGCCCACCUCAAGAUGAGUGCUCUCACUACAUAAGUAGGUAAGGUCACGGGCAGAACACCCGUUUAUAGGCUCUAAGUGGAAGUACAGUAAUGUAUGAAGCUGAGGUGUACUAACAGACCGAGGGCUUGACCUC
This 3024-nucleotide ribosomal RNA is filed under the name Nodularia spumigena CCY9414. RNAcentral's name for it is "bacterial LSU rRNA". It matches the Rfam family "Bacterial large subunit ribosomal RNA". Lineage: Bacteria; Bacillati; Cyanobacteriota; Cyanophyceae; Nostocales; Nodulariaceae. The record is from RNAcentral.